Molecule: ribosomal RNA, 235 nt
Filed under: uncultured bacterium
Lineage: Bacteria
Description: partial 16S ribosomal RNA
Rfam family: Bacterial small subunit ribosomal RNA
Source: RNAcentral
CGGGGAGGUAACGACGUGGGGCGAACCCGCCUCAUACAGGGGAGUAACAGUUAGAAAUGACUGCUAAUACCGCAUAAGCGCACAGCAUCGCAUGAUGCCGUGUGAAAAACUACCGGUGGUAUGAGAUGGACCCGCGUCUGAUUAGGUAGUUGGUGGGGUAACGGCCUACCAAGCCGACGAUCAGUAGCCGACCUGAGAGGGUGACCGGCCACAUUGGGACUGAGACACGGCCCAA